CGGCUAAAAACCAAGUAACAGACAAAGCAAGAAACAAAACACAGUAAAUUCAUCAGUCCAAGCCUCAAAUCCUUGUUUGGAGCCCAUCAUGCUGAAACUUCUUCUGUAAUCAGAUCAGCAGCUUCUCAAUGGCAUCCUUCAGUUGGUGUAUCUGUGAUUUGAGCUGGCUGCCUUCAUUGCUAGUUACUGAACAAGCAAUCACAGGCCUUGUCACUCCACAAGCCCGACCAAGAGCUUGUUUUGAUGGAACAAAGACAUAAGGCACAUUCUUAUCCUCCGCAAGUAGGGGGAGAUGGAGAAGGAUUUCAAGCGGCUCAGUAUCAGCCGCCAUCACAACAAACUCCGAGAUUCCCCUGUUCAGAGUCUUCGUUGCUUCAUUUGCUCCUUUCUUCAACUGCUUGUAAUUGGCCGCCUGCUGGAUGAGAUCCAUGAUUGUGAUUGUCAGCUGAGCGUCCGCCAAGGGGUACGCCUUCGGAUUCACCUCAUCGGUAGUCAUUUCUUCGCGAUGGAUCGCUGAUCGUACGAUGCGGCGGCGGCGGCGGCGGCG
RNAcentral lists this unclassified non-coding RNA (547 nucleotides) under Hevea brasiliensis (rubber tree). The record is from RNAcentral. Lineage: Eukaryota; Viridiplantae; Streptophyta; Magnoliopsida; Malpighiales; Euphorbiaceae.